RNAcentral lists this ribosomal RNA (468 nucleotides) under uncultured bacterium. Its description in RNAcentral is "partial 16S ribosomal RNA". It matches the Rfam family "Bacterial small subunit ribosomal RNA", at positions 28 to 507 of the family's 1533-position model. The record is from RNAcentral.
GAUGAACGCUGGCGGCGUGCUUAACACAUGCAAGUCGAACGGAAAGGCCCAAGCUUGCUUGGGUACUCGAGUGGCGAACGGGUGAGUAACACGUGGGUGACCUGCCCUGCACUUUGGGAUAAGUCUGGGAAACUGGGUCUAAUACCGGAUAGGACGUUGGUCUGGAUGCCAUUGUGGAAAGUUUUUUCGGUGUGGGAUGAGCUCGCGGCGUAUCAGCUUGUUGGGGGGGUAAUGGCCUAUCACGGCGCUGUCGGGUAGCCGGCCUGUGAGGGUGUACGGCCACACUGUGGCUGAGAUACAGGCCAGACUCCUACGCGGGGCAGCAGAGGGGAAUAUUGCGCAAUGGGCGCGAGCGUGAGGCAGCGACGCCGCGUGGGGGAUAACGGCCUUCGGGGUGUAAACACCGUUCGCGAGGGACAAGGCGCGUUUGUGACGGUACCGGGUAAAGAAGCACCGGCUAACUACGUG